This 601-nucleotide ribosomal RNA is filed under the name Oulimnius cyneticus. Its description in RNAcentral is "SSU rRNA". It matches the Rfam family "Eukaryotic small subunit ribosomal RNA", at positions 22 to 602 of the family's 1831-position model. Lineage: Eukaryota; Metazoa; Arthropoda; Insecta; Coleoptera; Elmidae. The record is from RNAcentral.
AGUCAUAUGCUUGUCUCAAAGAUUAAGCCAUGCAUGUCUCAGUACAAGCCUAAUUAAGGUGAAACCGCGAAAGGCUCAUUAAAUCAGUUAUGGUUCCUUAGAUCGUACCCACACUUACUUGGAUAACUGUGGUAAUUCUAGAGCUAAUACAUGCAAACAGAGCUCCGACCGGAGACGGAAGGAGCGCUUUUAUUAGAUCAAAACCAAUCGGCGGCGGGCUUGCUCGCUGUCGUACACCUUGGUGAAUCUGAAUAACUUUCUGCUGAUCGCAUGGUCUCGCACCGGCGACGCAUCUUUCAAAUGUCUGCCUUAUCAACUGUCGAUGGUAGGUUCUGCGCCUACCAUGGUUGUAACGGGUAACGGGGAAUCAGGGUUCGAUUCCGGAGAGGGAGCCUGAGAAACGGCUACCACAUCCAAGGAAGGCAGCAGGCGCGCAAAUUACCCACUCCCGGCACGGGGAGGUAGUGACGAAAAAUAACGAUACGGGACUCAUCCGAGGCCCCGUAAUCGGAAUGAGUACACUCUAAACCCUUUAACGAGGAUCAAUUGGAGGGCAAGUCUGGUGCCAGCAGCCGCGGUAAUUCCAGCUCCAAUAGCGUAU